UGAGAAUCACCCAGCUUUCCUUCUAGGAUUGGGGGGAGGGUGUAACCAGGGGCCACAGUGACGCGUCGAUAGGAUGAGGGGAGGGUGUAACUAAGGGCCACAUUGAUAAUCUAGAGCAAAGACACCACAUCAGAGAGUAACAGACCUCUACAGUAGUCUGGAGAGAGACCACACCGGAGAGUAAACAUCUACACCAGAGAGAGACAUCUACACCGGUGAGCAAGACCACACUGCCGGAGAGUAACCGACAUCUAGUCUGGAGAGAGAGACCACACCGGAGAGUAAGACAUCUACACCGGAGAGACACCACACCGGAGAUUAACCGAUAUCUACACUGGAGAGAGAGAACACACCGUAGAGUAACCGACAUCUAGUCUGGAGAGACACCACACCGGAGAGUAAGACAUUGAACCGGAGAGAAACACCACACCGGACACAGCAAGGUACCACACAUCUACACCAGGGAGGAGAGAAAACACAGUGGAGAAUAAUGAACUUCCGGACCAGAGAAAGAAGUAGCACUGGGGAGUGACGCAAUUCUAGACCAGAGAGAAGAACCACCCCAGAGAGUAACGGACCUCGGAGAUCACCACACAUCUAGGCUGAAGAGAGGAAUCGCACCAAAGGGUAACCUAAAUCCAGACCAAAGAAGAAGUAACCACUCGAAGGAGUAACAGAAAUCUAGACUCAAGAGAGAAGAACCACCCCAGAGGGUAAGGCCCAUCUAGAUCGGAGAGAGAGAGGAACCACACUAGAGAGUAACAAGUGUAGACCAGAGAGAGAGAAAACACAACCAGACCGAAGAGAGAGGAGCUACCCCAGAGUGUGAAGACUAUGGAGAUGUCCUACUGGAGAGUAACAGACAUCUAUACGCUAGAGAAUAACCACACCAGAGAGGCUAAUACUUAUCUAGACUGGAGAGGAGAACCGUACUGGAGAGUAAUGUACAUCUAUACCGGAGAGCAAUACAUAUCCAACCCAGAGAGGGAAAACACGCAGAAAAGUCACAUAAAUCUGAGCCAUGUAUAUUAGAACAAGGAGCCGCGCUAGACUAGCGACAAAGGAUAAAUAGAAUGAAACAAGCAGAAGGCAGGCGCUCAAUGUGGGAUACACACAUAAAUAGAUUGGAAAAAGACAGAAAAGGCUGCGCCUAUGAACACAAAAUAAAUAAUCGAAGAAUCGCUCCUUUUUAUGGCACCACAGUGACUCCACACACAGAAAAAAGUGCCCAACCACCGUAGUGUAGCCCUGCUUGCCGAAUAGCAAGCAUAAAGGGCGUUUGGCUAUAACCCAGCCACUGCCUUUAGCUUCCAAUGCUGACCACUGGAACGCACAUGAAGCAGACUGGAUGGCAGUGAUAUGCUCAAAAGGAAAGAAAGCCGACCAUAGCGUGAUACAGUCUCAUGGAUUUAUUACAAAAUAUAAUAUUGCACUUGCAUGCAAGUAGAUAAAAGAUUGCAUGUAUAAAUGCCGGCCGGCAAAUAACGAGCCCUUCCAGACGCGUUUCGUCACAAGUGAUGUUAAUAAUUGUGAACCUUUCCCCAUUCGGUAAGCGUGUCUACACUACGGUGGUUGGGCACUUUUUUCUUUGUGUGGAGUCACUGUGGUGCCAUAUAAAAAGAUAAACAAUUAUUUAUUAAAUUACACUUAUUUAUUUUGUGUUCAUAAAUCUGAGCCAAGCAAAUGAACCACACUAAAGAGUGACACGUUUCUAGUCCAAAGAGCUGAACCACACCGGAGAGAAACACACAUCCAGAACAGAGAGAGGAACCACAUCGGAGAGGAACCACAUCGAAGAGGAACACACAUCCAGAACAGAGAGAGGAACCACACUGGAGAGAAACACACUUCCAGAACAGAGAGAGGAACCACACCGGAGAGAAACACACAUCCAGAACAGAGAGAGGAACCACAUCGAAGAAGAACCACAUCGAAGAGGAACACACAUCCAGAACAGAGAGAGGAACCACACCGGAGAGGAACACACAUCCAGAACAGAGAGAGGAACCACACCGGAGAGGAACACACAUCCAGAACAGAGAUAGGAACCACACCAGAGAGAAACACAUCCAGAACAGAGAGAGGAACCACACCGGAGAGAAACACACAUCCAGAACAGAGAGAGGAACCACACCGGAGAGAAACACACAUCCAGAACAGAAAGAGGAACCACACCGGAGAGAAACACAUCCAGAACAGAGAGAGGAACCACACCGGAGAGUAACACACAUCCAGAACAAAAUGAAACGCACUGAAGAGCAAUAUAAAUCCAGACACUGGAGAGUAACGUAUGUCUAAUCCAGAGAGAAACCACGCCAGGGAGUAUCAUAAAUGUAGACUGAAUCGAGAAACCGCACCUCAUAACACACAUGGAGACUGGGGAGAAAGAGACACCACCCUGGAAAAACGGUUGUAGAACGGAGAGAAGAACCUAAUCAGAAACCUGGACCCAAGAGGAGGAGCUAAAUCGGAGAAUCUCGUAUAUCUAGACCUGAAAGAUGAACCAAAUGAAGAAUACACAUCUAGAUAGAAGGACCACUUUGAAUAGCAUAAAACUCCUUCUAGAAAACGCACUCAGAGACAUGCAUUGCACACUCAUUACCAAAGCUGAGAUGGUUGUCCCACAGGAGUGUGACCCGAGAGCCAUGGAUAGGACAGUGUAGGUCCCGUUGUAGUUGGGUUGUGUUGGUGUGACCCGAGAGCCAUGGAUAGGACAGUGUAGGUCCCGUUGUAGUCGGGUUGUGUUGGUGUGACCCGAGAGCCAUGGAUAGGACAGUGUAGGUCCCGUUGUAGUCGGGUUGUGUUGGUGUGACCCAAGAGCCGUGGAUAGGACAGUGUAGGUCCCGUUGUAGUCGGGUUGUGUUUGUGGAAGUUUAGAGCCAUGGAUAGGACAGUGUAGGUCCCGUUGUAGUCGGGUUGUGUUGGUGUGACCCGAGAGCCAUGGAUAGGACAGUGUAGGUCCCGUUGUAGACGGGUUGUGUUGGUGUGACCCGAGAGCCGUGGAUAGGACAGUGUAGGUCCCGUUGUAGUCGGGUUGUGUUGGUGUGACCCGAGAGCCAUGGAUAGGACAGUGUAGGUCCCGUUGUAGACGGGUUGUGUUGGUGUGAGUUGAGAGCCAUGGAUAGGACAGUGUAGGUCUAGUUGUAGACGGGUUGUGUUGGGGGAAGUUUAGAGCCAUGGAUAGGACAGUGUAGGUCCCGUGUAGACGGGUUGUGUUGGUGUGAGUUGAGAGCCAUGGAUAGGACAGUGUAGGUCCCGUUGUAGACGGGUUGUGUUGGGGGAAGUUUAGAGCCAUGGAUAGGACAGUGUAGGUCCCGUUGUAGUCGGGUUGUGGUGGUGUGACCCGAGAGCCAUGGAUAGGACAGUGUAGGUCCCGUUGUAGUCGGGUUGUGUUGGUGUGACCCGAGAGCCGUGGAUAGGACAGUGUAGGUCCCGUUGUAGUCGGGUUGUGUUGGUGUGACCCGUGAGCCAUGGAUAGGACAGUGUAGGUCCCGUUGUAGUUGGGUUGUGUUGGUGUAAGUUGAGAGCCAUGGAUAGGACAGUGUAGGUCCCGUGUAGACGGGUUGUGUUGGUGUAAGUUGAGAGCCAUGGAUAGGACAGUGUAGGUCCCGUUGUAGACGGGUUGUGUUGGUGUAAGUUGAGAGCCAUGGAUAGGACAGUGUAGGUCCCGUUGUAGUCUGGUUGUGUUGGUGUGAGUUGAGAGCCAUGGAUAGGACCGUGUAGGUCCCGUUGUAGACGGGUUGUGUUGGUGUGACCCGAGAGCCAUGGAUAGGACAGUGUAGGUCCUGUUGUAGACGGGUUGUGUUGGUGUGACUUGAGAGCCGUGGAUAGGACAGUGUAGGUCCCGUUGUAGACGGGUUGUGUUGGUGUGACCCGAGAGCCGUGGAUAGGACAGUGUAGGUCCCGUUGUAGUCGGGUUGUGUUGGUGUGACCCGAGAGCCAUGGAUAGGACAGUGUAGGUCCUGUUGUAGACGGGUUGUGUUGGGGGAAGUUGAGCCAUGGAUAGGACAGUGUAGGUCCCGUUGUAGUUGGGUUGUGUUGGUGUGACCCGAGAGCCAUGGAUAGGACAGUGUAGGUCCCGUUGUAGUCGGGUUGUGUUGGUGUGACCCGAGAGCCAUGGAUAGGACAGUGUAGGUCCCGUUGUAGUCGGGUUGUGUUGGGGGAAGUUGAGAGCCGUGGAUAGGACAGUGUAGGUCCCGUUGUAGACGGGUUGUGUUGGUGUGACCCGAGAGCCAUGGAUAGGACAGUGUAGGUCCCGUUGUAGACGGGUUGUGUUGGUGUGACCUGAGAGCCAUGGAUAGGACAGUGUGGGUCCCGUUGUAGACGGGUUGUGUUGGGGGAAGUUGAGAGCCAUGGAUAGGACAGUGUAGGUCCCGUUGUAGACGGGUUGUGUUGGGGGAAGUUUAGAGCCCUUUUUCUGUAUUUGUCUUCAUCAGAACUUACGUUUCUUUUCUUUUGUUUGUUUUUUUAUUGUGGUGUUUUGUGGUGGUGUGCACUUUGUACCAUCCAAGCAAUGCUGAUAAACAGUUGGUAUCAGAAA
Molecule: long non-coding RNA, 4540 nt
Organism: Rana temporaria (common frog)
Lineage: Eukaryota; Metazoa; Chordata; Amphibia; Anura; Ranidae
Exons: 2
Source: RefSeq, a predicted model, not a curated record